RNAcentral lists this non-coding RNA (109 nucleotides) under unclassified sequences. Its description in RNAcentral is "EGFOA RNA". It matches the Rfam family "EGFOA RNA". The record is from Rfam by way of RNAcentral.
GUAUCCCUAGAUGAUAAAACACCGCACAUGGCUCGUAAGAGCGGUUAAAUUAGCAAGUAAUGCAAAUUACGCGAGGUAACGCAUGGCCUAGGCUCGUUAGUAGCUAAUU